RNAcentral lists this ribosomal RNA (465 nucleotides) under uncultured bacterium. Its description in RNAcentral is "partial 16S ribosomal RNA". It matches the Rfam family "Bacterial small subunit ribosomal RNA", at positions 338 to 795 of the family's 1533-position model. The record is from RNAcentral.
CCUACGGGGUGCAGCAGUGGGGAAUAUUGCGCAAUGGGCGAAAGCCUGACGCAGCGACGCCGCGUGAGGGAUGAAGGUCUUCGGAUCGUAAACCUCUGUCAGCAGGGAAGAACGGUCACUGUGCUAAUCAGCAGUGAAUUGACGGUACCUGCAAAGGAAGCACCGGCUACCUCCGUGCCAGCAGCCGCGGUAAUACGGAGGGUGCGAGCGUUAAUCGGAAUUACUGGGCGUAAAGCGCUCGUAGGCGGUAUGUCAAGUCAAGGGGGAAAUCCCCGCGCUCAACGUGGGAACUGCCUUUGAAACUGGCAAACUGGAGUGUGUGAGAGGAUAGUGGAAUUCCAGGUGGAGGAGUGAAAUCCGUAGAUAUCUGGAGGAAAAUCAGUGGCGAAGGCGACUAUCUGGCACAUAACUGACGCUGAGGAGCGAAAGCGUGGGUAGCAAACAGGAUUAGAUACCCGAGUAGUC